This is a long non-coding RNA of Oncorhynchus tshawytscha (Chinook salmon), 511 nucleotides long. Lineage: Eukaryota; Metazoa; Chordata; Actinopteri; Salmoniformes; Salmonidae. The record is from Ensembl.
UGUAUACUGUAGAUAGUGGUGUUGUAGUGUGGUAUACUGUAGAUAGUGGUGUUGUAGUGUUGUAUACUGUAGAUAGUGGUGUUGUAGUGUGGUAUACUGUAGAUAGUGGUGUUGUAUACUGUAGAUAGUGGUGUUGUAGUGUUGUAUACUGUAGAUAGUGGUGUUGUAUACUGUAGAUAGUGGUGUUGUAGUGUUGUAUACUGUAGAUAGUGGUGUUGUAGUGUGGUAUACUGUAGAUAGAGGUGUUGUAGUGUUGUAUACUGUAGAUAGUGGUGUUGUAGUGUGGUAUACUGUAGAUAGUGGUGUUGUAUACUGUAGAUAGUGGUGUUGUAGUGUGGUAUACUGUAGAUAGUGGUGUUGUAGUGUUGUAUACUGUAGAUAGUGGUGUUGUAUACUGUAGAUAGUGGUGUUGUAGUGUUGUAUACUGUAGAUAGUGGUGUUGUAUACUGUAGAUAGUGGUGUUGUAGUGUUGUAUACUGUAGAUAGUGGUGUUGUAUACUGUAGAUAGUGG